Oryctolagus cuniculus (rabbit) is the source of this 14484-nucleotide non-coding RNA. NCBI's taxonomy places the organism in Eukaryota, Metazoa, Chordata, Mammalia, Lagomorpha, Leporidae. The record is from RefSeq and is a predicted model, not a curated record.
UAAUGUCCAUGCCAGUUCCCCUUAUUUAUUCGUUUUUUUCUCUCCUCCAGUCAUCCUGGUGAACUUUCCCCAGUGGGGCUUCAGGCCUCGUUCCCUGUAGGCUCUUUCUGCCUUUCCCUGCCAAUGUCUUGGGUUACCGGGGUCUUUGUCUCACCUCCCCUUCCAGCGCUGGCACGCAGACUCUGCGGCGCAGCUCCGGCGGCUCCCACGGCUCGGCUUCCACGUGGUGGGUGACCUUGCUCUCCCCGUAGGUCCUCCGUGUCACAUCCACUAGAUCCAGAAGAGUUUCCUCUGCAAUUUUUUCCUGAUCCUUUUCCUGAGGCUACAGUAACUCCACUUUUAUUAAACUAUCUUUUCCCGGACUAUCGGUGCGCGCCCUCACUAUUCCGCCAUCUUGGCUCCGCUGUACUCUAUUAUUCUACUUUCUAAACUCUUAGCACACUCUAUUUUGCUUAAAUUUCUUCUGUUUAUUUAUUUAUUUGUUUAAAGAGUUAUUUAUUUAUUUGAAAGAGUUACAGAGAGGAAGAGGCAGAAGCAGAGAGAGGGAGAGAGAGAGAGGGAGAGUGAGAGAGAGGGAGGGAAUCUUCCAUCCACUGGUUUACUCCCCAGAUAGCUGCAACAGCCAGGGUUGGGCCAGGUCUCAGCCAGGAGCCAGGAGCCAGGAGCUUCAUCUGUAUCUCACAUAUGUGUGGCAGGAGUCCAAGUACUUGAUCUGUCUUCUGCUGCUUUCCCAGGUCCACUGGUAGGGAGCAGGAUUGCACGUGGAGCAGUGGAGACUCAUUCAGGCAGUGGCUUUAGCUACUAUGCCACAGCACUGGCUGGGCUCCAUGUUUUACUUAUUUAACUACUUGUUAUCCCCAACAGAAAGUGAGUACCAAGAGAAAAAGGACUGCACUCUUUUCCUUACCUCUCUUUGUGUAGAGCUGAUACUAUUGUGGGGUGGAGAAUACAUAGAUAUGCAACAAAUAUUUAUUGAAUAUGUAAAUAAAGGCAAGUUGCUUCAAUCCCGUCCAUCCUUUCCCCCCACACCUCUAACACCCAGAUUAUAAAAACUUGAAUUUAAAAAUUUUGUAGGUUCAGAUGCCAAUGAAAUUUAAGUUAUUUCUGAAGCUUAGCCAAAAUAUUUUCAGUUUCAAAGAGAAUACAGUUUGGUUUAAAGUUCCCAUUAAACAAAUACAGGAGGCAGAUUAAAUCCAACCAUUGAAAUACAUUUCUAAAUACUUCUAUUAGUAAGGAAGUCACAGGACUCCAUAGAAGUUCUAAUAUUUAUUCUAAAACUUUGUUUUACAAUUCAUUUUAUAUGUUUUUAUUUUAGAGCUACAUGUACAGAUUUGCAGAUAAAAGUCUUCUUUUUAUCUUUAUCACCUGCAAAUAUAUUCAUAUUUAGAAAUACACACCCAUAGUUGUCUCAGUUUCUACAUGGCAUGAUUCAUGCCUACACUGAUAACUUUUUUGUGACCUCUGAUUGGAUAUAUCUUUUAUUUAUUUGUUCAACUACAUGGGAUUUUUCCAUCAUAAAGGAAGCAUUAGGGAUUUUCCAUGCUUUAGUUUUCAAACAUUUCCCUUUAAAUUUCUCAUAAUUGCAUAAUUGCAACAUGGGAUGGCCCCAUGACUCCUUUUUAGAAAUGACACAUUAGAAAACACCUGGCAAGGCGUGUCCUUGGGGUCACUGAAGUCCUUCUCCAUGCUUGGUGACUCACAGGUAACAUUUUAGACCUGAAUCCCUGUAGAGAAGAAGCUAUGCAACCUAGCAUUACUUUAACUAUAAAAUUGUCUUGCAACCAUAGCUGUCUUGGCAAAAUUCCUUCUUCCUUUUUAUGCAAAAUAUGCUAGUUUUUAGUUUCCUAUGACACCCUAGGCUUUGUGUCAACAUACUUUAUAAUAUGAUGACUUAAUAUAUGUUGAAAUACAACGUCUGGUUGACUUAGCAGAUGUCACGUUCCAUGUUAACUAUUUUAGAAGUUUUCAAAAAAUAAACUUUACAGGGAGGAUGUGGUGUUGGAAAUUCCCAUCAAAAUUAGGGGUUUAAUGAGAAAUUUUGAAAGUAGUGGAUGAUUCUAUUACCUCUGACUAUAAAAAUAGUUUGUACCAUGCAUUUCUUUAGAUUUCUUAGAAAAACCCCUAACAUAACAAAGACUUAAUAAGGUUCUAAAACUUGAACAAUAAAAUCUUUGUGAUUAGCAUUAUUACAAAUAAAUCCACCUAUGGUGCACAUUGAGCCCUUAAGCAUGGAAACUAGCUUAACAUUCUUUUCUUAACUUACAUAAAAUUUCUCCCAAACUCUAGUUCCUUCAGAAGUAAAAUGAGGAUAAUAGAGUCUUCAGAACUUGAUAUAAGGUUUGUUAACAAGUCUGGCGAAGGGUUGAUUAGAGGUGAAGUUGUCAGUCCUGAGUGAAUGUGCUGAACGGCCUUGCAAGCCUCCAGGCUUGCUCUAGACCCUUCGAAAACUGACUGGGGAGCCCACAACCAUUAGCAGCUCAGAGUUCAGGCAGUAUCCAGGGACUUCAUGGCAUAGAAGGACGUGGGGAGCAAAGGAAGUAGUCAUGUGAUGACAUAAGUGGUCGAGUAGUUCAAAGUCAUUAAAAAGGACUGUUUAGAAUGUGAACAUUUCCUGGUGUCUAUAGAGAAUUAUUUCUCCGGUCUUUAGAACUUUAAAACAUAUGUCAUGAUUCUCCAGGCGAGGGCUGUAGUUUGCUUUUUUUUUUCCCCGAACAGUUUUGUCCUGAGACAUUUGAUGGUCCUAGUGCUUCCAAGACUGCAUUUUAGUAAAUUUUGUGUAUGGUCACUUUUUGCUUAUUUAGCUACUGCUCAGUGUUUGAGUAUCCUGACUCUUUGAUCAUCAUUUGUUCUAUAUUGCUAAUCAUGCUAAUAAGUCAUUUCAACUAAAUCAUAGUCAUGGAAUAGAAGAUUUAAAUUUCAAGUAGUUUGUGGAUGUAGCUUUUGGUUGAACUUGUGAAUCAGUCACUUAUUUGAUUGGCUUACCAGCAACUGCACUCCCCCUCCCUGCCAUCUUCUAGCAACUUUCCACUCUCCUUUUCCAGACAUGGCCCCUCCCUUCCCCACUACAGCAUGAAAACUGUGCUGUUCUUAUUUUGAAAUCCUGCCUUCUGGCCAUAGUUGUUAGAUGGCAAGUGGCCAUUUGACUUAAAUUGGUUCAAAAGAAAUAAAAUAUUAAGCUGUAAAAAGAGAGAGAACAGUAACUUAGUGGACACCUAGACCUUAACUCUGUGUUCUGGUGUGACAUAUUUCUAGAACCAAAACAAUAGGGGUAGUGGCCAAGAGGAGAGAUGGAGGCUGGGGUUGGGGGAGAAAGAGAAAGAGAGAGAGAAAUAAAAAGAAGAGAAGCAAGAGAAGAGAAGAGAAGAGAUUGGAGAGAGGAAUGGUGAGAGAAGAAUGAAGCAGUUUGUGAGAGACGAGCACAGAUGAUGGUUGCAGAGACUCCUGACUGAGUCCUCGUUUCAGCUCUUUUGUCCUUAUGUACAGUGACACAGCCGUGACAGAUAAUAAUGCCUGUUUUACUUGAGUCAGUUCAGUUACUUUUCACCAAAAUAAUUAUACUUACUACCAUCUAGGCAUAGACAAUUCAAUUAUAGUGACACCCUAGUCACUAUUUAUACCAUUCCUGUUAUCCAUAGAAAAUUCAGAUUUUACUUAUUUAUUUAUUUAUUUUUUCUGACAGGCAGAGUGGACAGUGAGAGAGAGAGACAGAGAGAAAGGUCUUCCUUUGCCGUUGGUUCACCCUCCAAUGGCCGCCGCGGCUAGCGCGCUGCGGCCGGCGCACCGCACUGAUCCGAUGGCAGGAGCCAGGAGCCAGGUGCUUUUCCUGGUCUCCCAUGGGGUGCAGGGCCCAAGCACCUGGGCCAUCCUCCACUGCACUCCCUGGCCACAGCGGAGAGCUGGCCUGGAAGAGGGGCAACCGGGACAGAAUCCGGCGCCCCAACCGGGACUAGAACCUGGUGUGCCGGCGCCGCUAGGCGGAGGAUUAGCCUAGUGAGCCGCGGCGCCGGCCCUUUACUUAUUUAUUUUUAAAAUAUUUUAUUUAUUUACUUUUUGAUGGGCAGAGUUAGAGAGAGAGAGUGUGUGUGAGAGAGAGAGAGAGAAAGAGAGAGAGAGAGAGUUGUUCCUUCUUUUGGUUCACCCCCCAAAUGGCCGCCAUGGUCGGUGCACUGCACCAAUCCGAAGCCAGGAGCCAGGUACUUCCCCCUGGUCUCCCAUGCGGGUGCAGGGCUCAAGCACUUGGGCCAUCCUCCACUGCUCUCCUGGGCCACAGCAGAGAGCUGGACUGGAAGAGGAGCAACCGGGACAGAGUCUGGUGCCCCGACCGGGACUAGAACCCGGGGUGGUGGCGCCGCAGGCAGAGGAUUAGCCUAGUGAGCCGCAGCGCUGGCCUAUUUUAUUUAUUUUAAAGGCAGAGUUUUACACACACACACACACACACACACACACACAGAGUGAACGAGAGAGAGAUCGAUCUUCUAUUUGCUGGUUUAUUCCCCGAGUGACCACAGUGGCCAGGACUGGGCUAUGCCAAAGCCAGGAGGCAGAAGCUUUAUCUUGGUCUCCCAAAUGUGUGGCAGGUGUCCAGACACUUGGAUCAUCUUCUGCCUCCUUUCCAAGGCCAAUUCCCGGGGGCUGGAUCAGAAGUGGAACAGCCAUGACCUGAACUGGUGCCCAUAAGGAAUGCUAGAACUGUAGAUGGCAACUUAACCUGCUGUGUCACAUGCUGGCCGCCAGAUUUAUUUUUCACAGCUAGCAUUUAAUGUUUAAGUAAAGAUCACUUUAGUAGGCUCAGUGUACAAAAAAUCCUAGAUAAGCUAUUUGAGGGUUUAAUAUUUUUAAAAGAAUUUAUAAAAAUAUUAAGUGUAUCAUCUGAACGUUGUAUAAUAAAAAAAGAAAAGGAGGCAUUUCAGAAGCAGGAAGCAGCAAGAAGAAAGGCAGAAAGGUACAAAAGUGAAUGGCAUGUACAGAAAAUGAAGAGUAGACUCUUCACUAAAAUGCAAGAAACUUGAGAGAGACGAUGGUAGAAAGAUUGGUUGGAAACAAAUUAUAAAAGGUCAUGAGCCAUGGAAAUUAUUAAAGGUUUUAACCAGUUGAGUGACAUCCAUUUAUUUGGUUUUAGAAGUAACUUUGGAUAAUGUUGAAAGAUGUGUACAAAUGAGAAGACAUUGGACAAUAAUUAUUGAUUAAUUGAUAUAUGAUGAUUGAUUCAACAAGAUUACAACAGUGGAUCUAGGGAGAAGGACUGUGUCUCAGAGUCACUUUGGAAGUAUAAUCAGUGUGUUGUAAUAACUGAACGUCAAGAGUCUGAUAUUGAGUGUGAGAGAAAGAGGCUCUCAGAUGGGGAAAUAGAUGAUGGCAAUGAUAGAGACAGGAAUACAGACCUGAAUAAAUAAGGAAGGGAAAUGUGUUUUGGACAUGUUGAGCUAAAAUAUUUUGAGUUCACCCAAGUUUACAUAUACAAUAGGUGGUUAGAAAAUUCCAUAAUGAUUGUUUUCCCUGUUGUAAAAAUGAUAAGCACUAGAAAAAUAGACACCGCAAUCAUUACCCUCAUCUCAGAAACAAUGAAGUAGAAAGAAAGCCACAAGUUUGACUGAAACAGUGCCAAAUGACAGCUCUCAGGACAAGGAAUUGAGAACAGAUAUCCCGGUACUCGGGCAACAGGGGCUGUUCAGGGUGUUCUGCAAGAGCAAGGGUGCGAGGACACACUAGACAUCCAGGGAGAAGUUCCCUUUUCCUGUGGAGCAAACAUCUUUGUUUGGGGGCUAUCAUCUGGGUUCCCUGUGGAAUUCAAACAUGUAUGCUGUCAUCUCUAAGACAAAACUUGGUGGGGGGGUGCUGUGGCAUAGUGGGUAAAGCUGCCACCUACAGUGCCGGCAUCCCAUAUGGGUGCUGGUUCAAAUCCUGGCUGCUCCUCUUCUCAUCCAGCUCUCUCCUAUGGCCUGGGAAAGCAGUAGAAGAUGGCCAAAGUCCUUGGGCCCCUGCACCCCACGUGGGAGACCCAGAGGAAGCUCCUGGCUUCUGGCUUCAGAUUCGCCCAGCUCCAGCCACUGCCAGCAUUUGGGGAGUGAACCAGUGCAUGGAAGACCUCUCUCUAUCUCUCUGCAUCUGCCACUCUGUAAUUCUACAUUUCAAAUAAAGAAAUAAAUCUUUGGGAAAAAAAGGACUAAGUUAGAAAGAUCCAAGGAAUCAAUUUCUGUAAGUGGCUGGGGAGCUAUCCAAAACAGACCUCUGCUGAGAGAAGAGUGAGUCAACCCCAAUUAAAACAUCAUUGUCAGGGUAGGUGUUUGGCACAUCAGUUAAGGUGCUCCUUAGGACACCUGCAUCCAUAUUAGAGUGUCUGGGUUUAAAUUCUGACUCUGCUCUGAUUCUAGCUUCUUGCUGGUGAACACCCUGGGAGACAAUGGUAAUAGUUCCAGUAGUUGGGUGCCUGCCACCCACACAGGAGACCUGGAUUGAGUUCUAGCCUUCUGGCUUUGUACUGGCUCAGCCCUAGCUGUUGUAGGUAUUUGCGGAGUAAACCAGCAGAUGAAAAUCUCUCUCUCUCUCUCUGCCUUUCAAAGAGAUUAACAUUUUUAUAAAAACUCAAAAGAAUAAAAAUGUGUCAUUAAUGUAGGAAUAAUUCUGAGUAAGGCUGUGGCUGUUUUCCUCAGUUUGUCCCUUUAUUUUAUCCUUGCCCAAAGAGACUUAGGACAGAGCCCCCAAAGAGGAGAUAUAAAAAUAAGAGAUUUAAAAACUUGAGAGGACAGGCAACAGUUGCACAUGUCCUGUGCAGCAGAGUAUAGCAAACUGUGCGUUCAGGGAGAUUUCUCUCCUUGUGGUUGAGUUUUGGAGCAGCUUGAGUUAUGGACAAGAGCAACUUGAAAAGGGAAAAGCAGGAUAGAGUGUCACACUAAGAGACAACAACAGUAAUGAGGGAGGAGAAGAGGAAGCCUUGUGGUCCCAGAGAGCUAAUGAUGAACAAUGGUAAACCCUGGUGCCUCUGGGUACACAUUGGGAGAAUCUGGAGUCCCUACAUCUGUGGCUGAGGAACAGGCUCAGAAAAGUGCUGUUUCAUUAUUAUUUUUGAUAGUACUUUUUCUACCUUUGUUUAUUCUGCAGAAAUGUCUUAAUUACUGUAUUUAAAAAAUCUAGAUAUUACUGUCAUAGACUCAAAUUAAAUAAAAAACACAGUGCAACCACUACUGAAUUCAGGAGAGAUUUUUUUAAAAAAAGAUUUAUUUAUUUAUUUUAGAGACAGAGUUAGAGAGGAGGGGGGAGAGAAUCAGAGAGAGAGAGAGAGAGAGGGAGAAAUCCUCCACCCGCUGAUUCAGUCCCCAAAUGGCUGCAACAGCUGGAGCUGGGCCGAUCUGAAGUCAGGAACCAGGAGCUUCUUCCUAGUCUCCCAUGCAGGUGCAGGGGCCCAAGCACUUGGGCCGUCUUCUACUGCUUUCCCAGGCCAUCAGCAGGGAGCUGGAUCGGAAGUGGAGCAGCCAGGACUUGAAUCAGCACCCAUAUGGGAUACCAACACUGCAAGUGGUGGCUUAAGCUGUUACACCACAGUGCAGGCCCCCUCAGGAGGCAUUUAUAAUAAACAAUUGACAUAUUCCCUAGAAAUUCUACUCUGGGUAAAAGAAAAAAAGGACUUUCUUAUUCGCAGCCCUUGUUUCAGGGUUGCAUCGCUGGAAAUGUAUCUCAUUCAGUGGAUCCUUCAGAAUCGUUAGUGUUAAAUCUCAUUGUCUGUGGCGUGUCUCUGGGAACACGCUUCCUUGAUCAAGAGUGUCUUGUGUGUUCAUAACUGUUUAGUGAGAUUUACACACAUAGUCUGAGGAACUCCUUCAACAACUCUGUAUAUGAAGUAUUAUUUCAUUCAUGUUAGAGAUGGAUGGGGGUUAGCAAGUGAAAUCCCACCUACUGUCACACAAAGAAUAGGGCAGGAACCAGCCCAAGUUUAUUCAGCAGCCAGGGAGGCAUUAGAAGUAGCUCAAGUGCAUCAAAAAUUAGAUCUACCACAUUUUACUCUUUUUUAAAGAUUUAUUUAUUUACUUGAGAUUCUGAGUUACAGAAAAAGAGAAGAAGUAGAGAGAGUCUUGCAUCUGCUGGUUCACUCCCCCAAACAACUGCAAUGGCUGGAACUGGGCUAAUCUAAAGCCAGGAGCCAGGAGUUUCUUCUGGGUCUCCCACACAGGUGCAGGGGCCCAAGACUUGGGCCAUCUUCUCCUGCUUUCCCAGGCCACAGCAGGGAGCUGGAUUGGAAGUGAAGCAGCUGGGACUCAGGCUGGUGCCCAUGUGAGAUACUGGCACCGCAGGCAGAUACUUAACCUACUAAGCUACAGUGGCAGCCCCCACAUUUUACUCUUUACAGUGUUCUGAUGUACUGGAAUCAAAUUCUAUGAAAUUUUUAACAUUCAUUUAUUUAUUUGAAAGACAGAAUUACAGAGACAAAGGGAGACACACACACAGAGUUCUUUUAUCUGCUGAUUCACUCCCCAGAUGGCCACAACAGCUGGGUUGGGCCAGACCAAAGCCAGGAGCCAGGAGUUACUCCAAAAUCUCUCAUGGGUGCAGGGCCCAAGCACUUGGGCUAUCUUCCGCUGCUGUUCCUAGGCCAUUAGCAGGGAGCUGGAUAGAGAACGAGGCAGCCAGGACUCGAUCUGGUACCCAUAUGGGAUGCUGGUGUUGCAGGUGGCAGCUUUAAGCACUACACCACGAUGCCAGCCCCUGAAAGCCUCAGUUUCUCCAUAUCAUUCAAGGACUUACCCUUGAACUAUAACUAUAUCUCUUUCUGUUUUUUUUUUUUUAAUUUAUUUGACAAGUAGAGUUAUAGACAGUGAGAGAGAGAGACAGAAAGGUCUUCCUUCUGUUAGUUCGCUCCCCAAAUGGUGGCUACAGCUGGUGCUGCACCGAUCUGAAGCCAGGAGCCAGGUGCUUCUUCCUGGUCUCCCAUGCAGGUGCAGGCACCCAAGCACUUGGGCCAUCCUCCACUGCCCUCCCGGGCCACAGUAGAGAGCUGAACUGGAAGAGGAGCAGCCGGGACUAGAACCCGGCACCCAUAUGAUAUGCUGGUGCCGCAGGUGGAGGAUUAACCAAGUGAGCCAUGGCGCUGGCCCCUAACUGUAUCUUUUUCAAUCUACCUUGUUUUGUGUAGGUUGAAAUUUAUCCCAUUAUACCUGUUCCUGGGAAUUAUUUAUUGGAGAUUUUCCUGGAAGCACACUGAAAUGUGAAUUUAUUAUGGAUCUUGUCACUUUUUUCUCAUGUUGCUUUCAACAACUUAGAGAUAACAUCAGAUAAUAAUCAGUAAUUGCAAUGCUUUGGAUACAAAUCAUGGCUAUCAUUCCACCACCACCUGAGUAAUACAUUAAAAUAAUAUAGUGCAUUUUUAUUUGUGAAAAUAAAGAAUUUCACUCUUCACAGUAUUUUUCAUUUUAUGUUUAUUUAAAAAAUGUUACUUAAGGUAUACAAAUUUCAGGUAAUUCAUAUAUACAGGUUCAGGAACAGUGAUGCUUUCCAUCCUGCUCUACCUGCUGCUCACACUCCCACUCUUAUUUCUCCUCCCUUCCCUAUUCACAUUCUUGUUUUUACAAAGAUCUAUUUUCAUUAACUUCAUACUCAUAAGAUUAACUCUACACUAAGUAAAGAGUUCAACAAACACUAUGAAGAAAAAAUACUAUUCCUCAACAGUUGAGACAGGGUUGUUCAAAAUCAAGCAUCUCAAAACGUCAAUUUCACUCCUAUAGGUUAUUUUUUAAGUUAUAGGUUAUUUUUUAACUCUAUUACUUACCACAGGUAAGAGAAAACAUAUGGUAUUUGUCUUUUUUUUUAAGAUUUAUUUUAUUUAUUUGAAAGACAGUGUUACAGAGAGAGGUAGAGACAGAGAGAGAGGUCUUCCAUCCACUGGUUCACUCCCCAAAUGGCCACAACGGCCGGAGCUGUGCUGGUCUGAAGCCAGGAACUUAUUCCAGGUAUCCCAUGUGAGUGAAGGGGCCCAAGGACUUUAGCCACUUCUACUGCUUUCCCAGGCCAUAGCAAAGAGCUGGAUUGGAAGAGGAGCAGCUGGGACUAGAACCAGCACCCAUAUGGGAUUGGUUUCAGGCCAGGGCUUUAACCUGCUAUACCACAGAGCUGGCUCUAGAUAUUUGUCUUUUUGGAACUGGCUUAUUUCGCUAGGUAUAAUGGUUUCCAAUUGCAUCCAUUUUGUUACAAACAACAGGAUUGUAUUUAUUUAUCUUUAUUUUUUUUUUUGCAGUGCAGUAUUCCACAGUGUAUAUAUACCAUAAUUUCUUUAUCCAGUCUUCAGUCGAUGUACAUCUGGGUUGAUUCCAUAUCUUAACUAUUGUAGAUUGAGCUGCAAUAAGCAUGGGUGUACAGACCACUCUUUCAUAUUCUGAUUUUAUUUCAUUUGGGAAAAUUCCCAGGGGAAUGGCUGGGUCAUAUGGUAGGUCUAUACUGAGAUUUCUGAGAUAUUGCCACUGUUUUUCACUGUGGCUGCAGAGGUUUACAUUCCCACCAACAGUGGAUUAGGGUGACUUUCCCCCAAUUUCCUCACCAGUGUUUGUUGUUUGUUGACUUCUUUAUGAGAACCAUUCUAAUUGGGGUGAGGUGAAACCUCAUGUCGUUUUGAUUUGCAUUUCCCUGACAUUGAGUGAGCCUGAUUAUUUUUUCACAUGUUGUUGACCAUUUGAAUUUCCUCUCUUGAAAAAUGUCUGUUCAGGCUGGCGCCGCGGCUCGCUAGGCUAAUCCUCCGCCUUGUGGCGCUGGCACACCGGGUUCUAGUCCCGGUCGGGGCACCAGAUUCUGUCCCGGUUGCCCCUCUUCCAGGCCAGCUCUCUGCUGUGGCCAGGGAGUGCAGUGGAGGAUGGCCCAAUGUGGGGAGCAACUUGGACUAGACUAAGUUACUGGAAUAAGACUUAUUCUAUGCAUCUGCUCUCCCACAAUAUGGCGCUGGGAGAGGAGUAAACAACUUCUACACAGCUGCCUCUCGCCAAUUUGACUGAUGAGCUGCAGGAGCUGAUCUUGCUCCUGAUUGGAGGAGAGCAGCGUGCUCGGCGUGUGGGUAGCAGAGUUGGGAUUGGUGGAAGAGGACUAUAAAGGAGGAGAGAGACAACAUGCACCAGGAACAUCUAUCUGAAGGAACACCUGUGCAGCCCCCGAGAGAGCCGGCCGGCAGUGUGCCGCUCCCCCGCGGAAGUGGGGAAAGUGGCAGGGGGAGCCGCCCUUCCACGGAGGUGGAAGGAUCGGCAGCCAACCCGGGAAGGACCAGCAGCAAACCCGGGAAGGGCCAAGCAGACAAAAGAACAGCGCAGGGUUUAGUGUCAUUCCUCCAUGAAGAGGGGGAGCGACAGCCCAAGUCCUUGGGCCCUGCACCCCAUGGGAGACCAGGAUAAGUACCUGGCUCCUGCCAUCGGAUCAGCGCGGUGCAACGGCCAUAGUGCGCCGGCCGCGGCAGCCAUUGGAGGGUGAACCAACGGCAAAGGAAGACCUUUCUCUCUGUCUGUCUCUCUCACUGUCCACUCUGCCUGUCAAAAAAAAAAAAAAUGUUCAGGUUCUUUGUCCAUUUCUUAACUGAGUUGUUUGUUUUGCUGUUGUAGAGUUUCUUGAUCUCUUUAUAUAUUUUGGUUAUUAAUGCUUUAUUGGAAGUUAAUUGAAAAUAGAUCUUAAUGAAAAAUAAGAAUGGGAAUAGGAGAGGGAGGAGGAAGAAGUCUGGGAGUGUGGGUGGGUACGGUGGGAAGAAUCAGUAUAUUCCUAACGUUGUUAAACAUUCAAAAAAAUCCUUUAUCAGUUGCAUAGUUUGCAAAUAAUUUCUCCAGGUCUGUCAGUUGCCUCUUCACUUUGCUGAGUGUUUCUCAGCUAUCUAAUCCCAUUUGUCAAUUUUGGCUUUGAUUGUCUGUGCCUCUGGAGUCUUUUCCAAGAACACUUUGCCUAUGCCAGUAUUUUGCAUGGUUUUGCCAAUGUUCUCUAUAUUCUGCUCCAUUGGUGUACAAGUCUGUUUUUGUACCAUUACCAGGCUGUUUUGAUGGUAACUGCCCUAUAGUAUGUCUUGAAAUCUGGUACUGUGAUGCCUACAGCUUUGGUUUUGUUGUGUAGGAUUGCUUAACUGUUCCAUAUGAAUUUCAUUAUCAUUUUUUUCUAUAUCUGAGAAGAAUAUCCCAGGUAUUUUGAUUGGUAUCACAUUGAAUCUGUGUAUUGUUUUUGGUAAUAUGGACAUUUUGAUAGUGAUUCUUCCAAUACAUGAACAUGGAAAAUUUUCCAUUUUUGUGUCUUAUAUUUAUUUCUGAUGUAUUGUUGGAUUCAAUUAGGUAGUAUUUUGUGGAGAAUUUCUGCAUCUUUGUUCCUCAGGGAUAUUGGUCUAUAGUUCUCUUUCUCUGUUGUAUCUUUUUCUGUUUUAGGAAUUAAGGUGAUGCAGGCUUCAUUUCAGGAGUUUGAGAGGAUUUCCUCCCUUUCAACUGUUUCGAAUAACUUGAGAAGAAUUGGAAUUAUUUCUUUAAAUGUCUGGUAGAAUUCAGCAGUCUUCACAGUAUUUUAUCACAUCCAUUUGAGGUGGGCCCAGCGGAUGACAAACUGUUAAACGUUAAUGUAAAAGCUGUCCUUAUUUAUAUGAGUCAGUUGGGAAAAUGUUUAGUAUUACACCACACCUUGAAGGUUAAUAAACUGGGGCAGAGUUAGACCAGGGGAAGUGCUGAAUUCCAGACUGAGCAAGGAAGCAGAAGAAUGACAUGAGAAAAUUUGUCAUCAGUUUGGGAAAACAGUAGUGUCCCCCUACCCAUUGUUUAUCUUUCCAAGUUUUAGUUAUCUACAGUUAACUGCAGUCCAAAAUUACUAAUGGAACUUUCUAAAAAUGAGCAAUUCAUAAGUUUUAUUGAACAUCAUUCUGAGUAGUGUGAUACAACCUCACAGCAGCCUACCUUGUUCCACCCGGGAUGUGAGUCAUCCUUUUGUCCAGCAUGUCCACACUGCGUACGUUACCUGCCCAGCAUCAUCACAACCGGAUGACCAGGAUCACCUGAAGCAGAAGAUCCUGCUCCCCAUGCAUCAUCAGAAGGCUGGGAGUAGUCUAAUGCCACAUCAUGGUGUCCAGGUCAUCCGUGUCUCUUCAUUUCAUCACAUAGAUGUUCUGUCACCUCACAUCUUCACAAGAAAGAAGCAUGUUCCAGGAGAAUCCUUAUAGAGGAGGUUCAGGUAGGAGGAAGGCAUUGGGUUCUGUGCCUCAUCAAGAAGCAUGUUCCAGGAGGAUCCUUAUAGAGGAGGUUCAGACAGGAGGAAGGCAUUGGGUUCUGUGCCUAUUAGUUGCCAGGGAUUAUGCUGGGUGCUUCUUGUCUACUUUUUUGUUUAAUUCUUUAGCAGCUAAAGCUGGAAAAUAUUCCUCCUCUCAUCUUAAAAUUAAAGAUUUAGGUGCUUUUUAAUGAUUUAUUAAAAUUAUUCUUUAGAUGAAAACUCUCAGUUGUUUUUGUAGCUGUAGUGUAAUUAUUUGCCAGGUAAAUUUUUGUUUCUGAAUUUUUCAUUUAAAUUAUGAAACUAUUUUCCCCUAUUUGGACUGACUCUCUCUCUCUUUUAACUUAGCAAACAUUCAUAUAUCAAUUGCUUUAAUUAGAGAAUGUAGUAAUUGCAAAUAUGAACACAAAGAAAACCCCUGCUCUAUAGUACAGAUAGUUUCUCUUCUCAGUACUAAUAUUAAACUUAUAUUUUCAUGAUUAAAUUUUAAGGAAAACAGCCUAAAAAACACUUUUCCAUUUUUCUGAUUAAGCUGUCUGUCUUCACAGCCAGAUUAGGAAACCAUGCUGUAUCAUUGAACAUUAUAGUGUAGUGCUGACUGUAGUUAAAAAAAAAAUAGCCUGAUUAGGAAUCAUCAAGCACAGAAAGAAUAUGGGGUUUUCCCCAAUCUUAAAUCAUUCUGGCUUAAUUAAUGAACACAGGGUUCACAGAGUUGACUUAUGAGGUCACUUUAUGAAGUAAUGGUUUAUAUGAAUUUGUGCCUCAGGAAUGAAAAAGGUUGGAGGUGAUACAGGGGAUUCUGGAAUUUUUUUGAAAGAAGAUGAUGGCAUCCGGCGUUCACAUGUGGAGGCAUUAGAGUGAGGAAUCUCUAUGGGUGGUUUAUCAUGAUGGUACAAGUGAUAAGAAAUGCAGGAUGUGUGUGUAUAAACAGGUUUUAUUGCCCUACCUUUACUUACAUACCCAAAAAGUGCCAUUUGUCUUUGCAGACUGUGUAUUCCCUAGUAUGGUUGGAGAUGGAAACAUUUUGGCUUCCAAAAUAUCUCUGAGAGAGGAAUUGUCUCCAAGUUAGUAUCCUCAUUAUGGAAGAGUCCUCAGAGAAACAACGCUUACCCUGCCAGCAAUUUGCCUGGUGAAUGAUUCAACAAACUGGGUAAGUCCAUGUUCCAGUAGUAUAGAGUUGUUGUAGAGAAACUGUUGAUAGUUGUACUGCUGGUCAUCAAUUUGAAAGGUGUCAGGCAGAAGGGGAUGCCAGUGAUAGAGUGUGUUAAACUCAGCAGCAAUCCGGUUUUGGUACUGGAA